Molecule: non-coding RNA, 24 nt
Filed under: Arabidopsis thaliana (thale cress)
Lineage: Eukaryota; Viridiplantae; Streptophyta; Magnoliopsida; Brassicales; Brassicaceae
Source: RNAcentral
AGAAGCCGAAUACAGAGCGGUUGC